This 745-nucleotide ribosomal RNA is filed under the name uncultured bacterium. RNAcentral describes it as "bacterial SSU rRNA". It matches the Rfam family "Bacterial small subunit ribosomal RNA", at positions 33 to 773 of the family's 1533-position model. The record is from RNAcentral.
ACGCUGGCGGCAGGCCUAACACAUGCAAGUCGAGCGGUAGAGAGAAGCUUGCUUCUCUUGAGAGCGGCGGACGGGUGAGUAAUGCCUAGGAAUCUGCCUGGUAGUGGGGGAUAACGUCCGGAAACGGACGCUAAUACCGCAUACGUCCUACGGGAGAAAGCAGGGGACCUUCGGGCCUUGCGCUAUCAGAUGAGCCUAGGUCGGAUUAGCUAGUUGGUGGGGUAAUGGCUCACCAAGGCGACGAUCCGUAACUGGUCUGAGAGGAUGAUCAGUCACACUGGAACUGAGACACGGUCCAGACUCCUACGGGAGGCAGCAGUGGGGAAUAUUGGACAAUGGGCGAAAGCCUGAUCCAGCCAUGCCGCGUGUGUGAAGAAGGUCUUCGGAUUGUAAAGCACUUUAAGUUGGGAGGAAGGGCAGUUACCUAAUACGUGAUUGUUUUGACGUUACCGACAGAAUAAGCACCGGCUGACUCUGUGCCAGCAGCCGCGGUAAUACAGAGGGUGCAAGCGUUAAUCGGAAUUACUGGGCGUAAAGCGCGCGUAGGUGGUUCGUUAAGUUGGACGUGAAAUCCCCGGGCUCAACCUGGGAACUGCAUUCAAAACUGACGAGCUAGAGUAUGGUAGAGGGUGGUGGAAUUUCCUGUGUAGCGGUGAAAUGCGUAGAUAUAGGAAGGAACACCAGUGGCGAAGGCGACCACCUGGACUGAUACUGACACUGAGGUGCGAAAGCGUGGGGAGCAAAC